This is a non-coding RNA of Camelina sativa (false flax), 139 nucleotides long. The record is from RefSeq and is a predicted model, not a curated record. Lineage: Eukaryota; Viridiplantae; Streptophyta; Magnoliopsida; Brassicales; Brassicaceae.
AACCUGCUUCAAAAAAAGCUUGUGGAAAUGAUAUUUGGAAAAGAAUGAAAACUUGGAUUUCCAUUCUUUUAUCACCGUCAACUCUGCAGGAACCUGCGUUUGAAGAACUAAUUUUGCUUUACACGAAGGAUGCGAGUGA